Molecule: ribosomal RNA, 473 nt
Filed under: uncultured organism
Description: partial 16S ribosomal RNA
Rfam family: Bacterial small subunit ribosomal RNA
Source: RNAcentral
CACUCCUGCGGGAGGCAGCAGUGGGGAAUUUUGGACAAUGGGCGAAAGCCUGAUCCAGCAAUGCCGCGUGUGUGAAGAAGGCCUUCGGGUUGUAAAGCACUUUUGUCCGGAAAGAAAUCCUUGGCUCUAAUACAGUCGGGGGAUGACGGUACCGGAAGAAUAAGCACCGGCUAACUACGUGCCAGCAGCCGCGGUAAUACGUAGGGUGCGAGCGUUAAUCGGAAUUACUGGGCGUAAAGCGUGCGCAGGCGGUUUGCUAAGACCGAUGUGAAAUCCCCGGGCUCAACCUGGGAACUGCAUUGGUGACUGGCAGGCUAGAGUAUGGCAGAGGGGGGUAGAAUUCCACGUGUAGCAGUGAAAUGCGUAGAGAUGUGGAGGAAUACCGAUGGCGAAGGCAGCCCCCUGGGCCAAUACUGACGCUCAUGCACGAAAGCGUGGGGAGCAAACAGGAUUAGAUACCCCAGUAGUCCCAU